GAUGAAGAACGCAGCGAAAUGCGAUAAGUAAUGUGAAUUGCAGAAUUCAGCGAAUCAUCGAAUCUUUGAACGCACCUUGCACCCUUUGGCAUUCCGAAGGGUAUGCUCGUUUGAGUGUCAUUGUACUCUCACACUUCCAAUCUUUGGAUUGGGAGCAGUGGACUUGGGUGUUGCUGCUUACUGUGGCUCACCUCAAAUCGAUUCGUGCACCUCUUGGUUGGACAUAGUACGGCGUGAUAAGUGUCUUCGCCGGCACCUCAGUAGAGGGUGGCUGAUCAGGAGCUCUGUGCUUCAAACCGUCCUCGGACAACAACUGACAACUUGACCUCAAAUCGAGUAGGACUACCCGCUGAACUUAAGCAUAUCAAUAAGCGGAGGA
This 379-nucleotide unclassified non-coding RNA is filed under the name soil metagenome. RNAcentral's name for it is "partial contains 5.8S ribosomal RNA, internal transcribed spacer 2, and large subunit ribosomal RNA". The stretch from base 1 to 120 matches the Rfam family "5.8S ribosomal RNA", at positions 35 to 154 of the family's 154-position model. The record is from RNAcentral.